GUCCCUGUAGCUCAGUUGGUAGAGCAUGGUGUUUGCAACACAAGGGUUGUGGGUUUAAUUCCCACAGGUGGCC
Salmo salar (Atlantic salmon) is the source of this 73-nucleotide non-coding RNA. Lineage: Eukaryota; Metazoa; Chordata; Actinopteri; Salmoniformes; Salmonidae. The record is from Rfam.